AUGGGUUUGGGAGCACUCAUUCACUUUGUGAGAGAGUGCAUCCAUAAGUACCUCUACUUUUCCAAGGCUACAAUAUGCAUCCAGGGUAUUUAUCUCAGAGAUACUUUAAAAUGAAAGUAUAAUGAUAUAUUUUAAAGAGUGUGAUUCAAACUAAUUUCUAAUCAAUUUUCUUUUUAUUUCUACACACACACACACACACACACACACACACACACACACACACACAUAUAUAUAUAUAUAUAAUGUAGGGUUGGUUUUGAGCCAUAGCUUCGUCAACCAUGCGAUAAUGUCUAUCUUGAUCAUGUACCUCCAAGAGAAUUGGUUUUCAUGAACAUUUUCUAAUAGCUGCCGUAGUUACAAAUGUGCAAGAAGGGGUAGCAGACAUAUUGGUGAUUUUCCUAGCUCAUUUCUCACACACAUUCAAUGGUGGUCUCAAAAUAAUUGCCACCACAAAUGCUGCCUAUAUUCUUGUAAGUACAUGUUCUUCCCUGAAAUCCUUAUAGUGAAGAGAAUUAACAUUAAUUAAUUAACUGUUCAAGACUUGUUUUGAUUGCUAUUCUUGUUAAUUAUAUAGGGGCUAUCUCUGUUAUGGCUUCCUAAUGAAUAUAAGAGUGAGGACUACGCAGCAAUGGCCAGGAUAUUCUAUGGAGCUGUGGUACUAUUAACAUUAGGCGAAUCUGGGCGAUCCGCUGCAUUGGAAGAAUUUCUUAAGAAGCAAUGUUUAAGCAAACAUAAAGAAACAGGACGCAGAUGACAAACGACCGGAAGGAUGGGAAGAAGCUAGCGAACAGAAAGAAAUAACGGCAGAAAAGCAUACAGAAGCUGGUGGCGACCAACAGGUGACGAAAGAAACGGCAGAAAGGAAUAAAAAGGACUUCUGGGUGUUCCAUGGUUUUUAGGUGCAGUGGUACCUCUUUUCCUUUCAAAAACAACUUGGACUCAGAUCUUCAUGAUUUCAACAAUUGCAAUGGCAGUUUCUUAUUUAUUGUUCUGGUUUGGGUUCAACGAUUAUUUGAAAAACAAUAAAGAAGCACAAGCAGGGGAGCAUCCCCAAGUCACGGAAAGAGAGAACCUUUGGACACUGAACAAAAAGGUGAGGAAGAAAAAACGUUUGCGCAAAGAAAUUGUAGCUUCAUGGUUGGCCUUCUUUGUAUUCAGUAUGGUAAAGGCAGCGGGGAGCACCUUCUUUUUCGAACAAAUCAGUAACUUGAAAAAUCCCAUCCACAAUUAUGACCCUGCAGUUUAUUUCAAUGUGCUUAGCUCCUUUUCGAGGUACAUAAUCUCAUUUCUCUUCCCCAAACUAAUUCCAAAGCGAACGCGGGUGAGAAUUGGCUGUGGAAUGGCUUCUACUGUGUUAUGUUGCGUUGCUGCUUGGGUGGUUGAGAUCCACAGGAUGAGGAAAGUUACGAGGGCAGGGCUUGAAGAUGACACUUUUGACAUUUCUAUGAGCAUAUUUUGGUUGGUUCCACAGUUCUUCCUGUUAGGACUUAUGGAAGGGUUGGCCGUAGAUGGAUUGAUUGAUCUUUUGGCUGAUAGAGUGGACGAGGAGGAUAAAGAAAUGGCUAAGAAUUAUGGAUCCCACACCAGCGACUUAGUGGUGGGGAUUGGAAAAUUACUAACUGCUCCUAUUAGCUUAGCAUUUAGUCAUAGAUGGUUCAAUGACAGCAUAAAUCUGAGUCGUCUGGACAAGUUUUACAGACGGCUAACGUUUCUAAGUCUCUGUAGCUUCGUCUACUACUUGUAUGUCCGCUUUUACUUUUAUAGCAAGGAUGACACACAUAACUCCGCCAUCGAAGAACACGAACAAGGCCGUAAUGGAAGUGGAGUUGUGGAAAUCGCAACUGUUUAGAUCUCCUAAGUCCUAACACAAGAGUUAUUAGCAAUGAGUUUGUUAACAGUUUUAUAUAUGUUAAAUUGCAUGCAUAUGUUUGUAUGUUUUUG
Molecule: small RNA, 1941 nt
Filed under: Prunus dulcis (almond)
Lineage: Eukaryota; Viridiplantae; Streptophyta; Magnoliopsida; Rosales; Rosaceae
Description: sRNA ncRNA
Source: RNAcentral